This is a non-coding RNA of Sturnus vulgaris (Common starling), 394 nucleotides long. Lineage: Eukaryota; Metazoa; Chordata; Aves; Passeriformes; Sturnidae. The record is from RefSeq and is a predicted model, not a curated record.
UGACCCCGCCCUGUGCCAGCCUCUGCCUGCAGGGGGCGCUCUCUGCCCUGCACCGCAGCCAAUCCCCUUCCUGCUCCCGCUUCUGCCGCGCCCUCAUUGGCUGCCUCGGCCAGGACGGCCCCGCCCACGGCCGCAGCCCUCUGCUGACGUCACUGCAGGACCCGGAGCGGUCCCGCCUCCUGGAGGCGGCCAUGACAGUCCUGGACCCCGCGGGGCUCCGGGAGCUCUUCCGGGAUCACCUGAAAGGUCACGUGAGGGGCGUGGCCUCGCACCGAGUGGCCAAUCACGGCCUGCAGCGCCUCCUGGGCCACGCCCCCGAGGACGUGGUGUCGGAGGUGCUGUCGGAGCUGGGCCCUGCCCUGGAGGAGCCGCUGGCCCGGGGCCACCCUGGGGU